Molecule: ribosomal RNA, 422 nt
Filed under: uncultured bacterium
Lineage: Bacteria
Description: bacterial SSU rRNA
Rfam family: Bacterial small subunit ribosomal RNA
Source: RNAcentral
UGAGGAAUAUUGGUCAAUGGAGGCAACUCUGAACCAGCCAAGUCGCGUGAAGGAUGAAGGUCUUAUGGAUUGUAAACUUCUUUUAUACAGGAAUAAAUUGGGGGACGUGUCCCCCUUUGCAUGUACUGUAUGAAUAAGGAUCGGCUAACUCCGUGCCAGCAGCCGCGGUAAUACGGAGGAUCCGAGCGUUAUCCGGAUUUAUUGGGUUUAAAGGGUGCGCAGGCGGGAUGUUAAGUCGGCGGUGAAAUUUUGCAGCUCAACUGUAAAGGUGCCUUCGAUACUGGCUUCCUUGAGUGUGGAUGAAGUAGGCGGAAUUUGUGGUGUAGCGGUGAAAUGCUUAGAUAUCACGAGGAACUCCGAUUGCGCAGGCAGCUUACUAAGCCACUACUGACGCUCAUGCACGAAGGCGUGGGGAUCAAACA